AGGGUUUGAUCAUGGCUCAGGAUGAACGCUGGCGGCGUGCUUAACACAUGCAAGUCGAGCGGAGAUAUUCGGAAAGCUUGCUUUUUGGAUAUCUUAGCGGCGGACGGGUGAGUAACGUGUGGGCAACCUGCCUCAUACAGAGGGAUAAUCAUGUGAAAACGUGACUAAUACCGCAUGUCAUUACCGAAGGGCAUCCUUUGGUAAGAAAAGGAGAAAUCCGGUAUGAGAUGGGCCCGCAUCUGAUUAGCUAGUUGGUGAGAUAACAGCCCACCAAGGCGACGAUCAGUAGCCGACCUGAGAGGGUGAUCGGCCACAUUGGGACUGAGACACGGCCCAA
RNAcentral lists this ribosomal RNA (337 nucleotides) under uncultured bacterium. RNAcentral describes it as "bacterial SSU rRNA". It matches the Rfam family "Bacterial small subunit ribosomal RNA", at positions 8 to 334 of the family's 1533-position model. The record is from RNAcentral.